GUGUUUGUGAGUGAGUGUGUGGGGGCGGGGGGAGAAUUUCUUUACGUUCCCAAAGUUGAGCAAAAGAAAAUUGGUUAAUUAGAGGUUAUGGCUCCCUAAAUGCCAGUUAAGUAGGAUUCUACUGUAUUUUGUCCUCACAAACGACCUCUGAUUAUGUCAUACCCCGUGUUCUAAAACCUUCACGGAGAUAUAAUGAUGGGAUGUGGUCAGAGAAUGGAGUAUCAUUUACAAAGGGGAAAAUUGGGUCCAGAGAGCCAGCUGAUUAAGUAAAUGGUGCCUUAUUCUUACAGCACCACUAUAAAAAUGAGAUUGUGCAACAGUGACUCCCAGAGGCGGGCAGGGAGUCUCACAGGGCCGGGCGGGCGUCACGACCCCACUAUCUCCUGAUCACAGUGCUCUCUGGAUGUCAAGGUUCGAGUGCAACAGGACCUGUAAUGUACACUAAUGAAAAGAGAAGAAACUAAAAUCCCUUAGCAGGUUAUCUGAGGCUCUCCACCGUCUGAUGGAAGACGUCUUCUAGAUUUCUCUUGAACCCUUGGUUUGUCAUUUGCUCACAAGUUCUGGCCUCGAAGGGUUACUCAUUGAUUCCUGCAUAUGCCCUGCCUUUUCUCAUUGACCCACUCUUCCAGGAGCUCGUUCCAGAAUUCCCGAAUUACACAUCACUGCUUCCUAUUAGAAUCCAACUGCUCAAAAUACAUAGAUGAUAAAUAUGUUACAGCAAAAAAACAGAUUCAAAACUAUAUACAGAGUAUGAUCUCAACUAGUUCAAGAAAAAAAUUCAAAGAAACAAUAGUCCCUCAGCAGGCACCAGAGUCGUCAAUUCCGGGUGCAGUGGCUGUCAUGCUGAGCCCACGGCUCGUAGGAGAGCUUCAUCCCCUCUCUGCCGGCCCAGGAUGCAGAUGGACCACCUUCUGGCACACAGAUUAUGUGUUCCCAGGAAACCCAAGCAAAACCCCUGACCGCUCCGGGGAUGGCAGAGACGGUCUGGACUCCCACGUGUGUGGCACUGACAAAGGGCUCACCCCGUUCCACCUACCUCAUGUGGCACAGAUCACAUGGCUCAGUCGUCACCUCCACAUGGGACAGGGAAGCCCCAGCCCAGCCAGAACACACGGCUCCACGAGAGGGGAAAGGGCAGCCUGGAUUCUGCUACAGCGGACAGAGCACCUGUGAUGCGGGGAGCGUCUUGGGCACCUCUUCAUUCCUGCUUGUGGAUUUUAAAUAGCUGCCCUUUUCAGUUAUUAUCAGACCUUCUCCCAGCCUUUGCAGCUGGAUGAAUCUCUUCCUUCCUCGCUUUCUUUCUCCCUC
This is a long non-coding RNA of Fukomys damarensis (Damara mole-rat), 1308 nucleotides long. RefSeq lists it as uncharacterized. The transcript is spliced from 3 exons. The record is from RefSeq and is a predicted model, not a curated record. NCBI's taxonomy places the organism in Eukaryota, Metazoa, Chordata, Mammalia, Rodentia, Bathyergidae.